AGCGAGGCUAAAGGGUUAGGGGAGAAGUGGAAGAGAGACUUUCCAGAAAGGUUGCCUAAGCAGUCUUGGAACGAAGGCUGCUUCACUAGACUAAUAGGUUUUAGGGGGACACAGCUACCUUUCGGAUAGGGAGGCACAACUACCUUUAUGAAUAAAUUAUCAAACGUCACAAGGAAUGGUAUGAUAGAGGGGAAAGCCUGUUCAAUGAAAGAAAGCACUCACCCACGCUAGGGCUAAAGACUAGAAGUAGAUCUUCUGAUUCAUCAGAUUCUAGCAGAUCUGCAACACUAAUUUUGGUGACUUCCUAGUGCAUCAAUAUUGGAUUCUAGUAGGUUGGCAAAUUUUGAGUCCAGUGGCAGUGUCUUUUGCCAAUGGAAGUGCUCGCUAGAUAUGGAAAUAAAGAAGGCACGCUUUUCUAGACCCUUGUGCCUGGAACAAGGAGCACAUCUAGCCGCAUAAGGCAAGCACUUGCUAAAGAUCGCCUGCCUUUCUCCAAUAGAGGCAUUAGGAUUGAAGCCUUGUAAGUCCCGCACCUAAGAUGCAACUUCAACAACACUGCUGGUGUUUUUUAAGUACAAUAUCAUAUAGAGGAAAGAAUACCACCUUAGAAGGAAAAGAAGAGCAUACUAAAAAAGAACCACACAUGAACAUGUGCAUAUUACAUUCAUGAAGAGAAUCAAGCAACAAAAAAAAGCGAGAGCAUGGCCCAGCAAUGCAAAAUGACAUGGCUCAAUUAGGAAGGAUCAAGACUGGUCACUCUAAGAUGAAUGUGGUCACAGCCAAGAGAAGCCAAGAUUGCUUGGCAUUUCCACAAUAUAUUGCCCAUUGUUUCUGGGAUAAAUAAAGUGAAAAUUAUUACAAAGGACCAAGGAAGAGCCAACACUAUAUGCAAGAUGAGAUACUUUUGCACCCAUACAAGUUUACAAAUUAAAACCAGCUUCUAUGUCUCGAAAAUAUUGUCAUAGUAACAAAAAUUUGGAGAUAAAGCUAAUCUAUUAUCAUGGCAAUAAGUGCCACAGUUUUCCUCCAUGCUAAGCCCAACAAGAAAAAUCUCCCACCAUCAACCAAGUAAUGUGUGAAUGCCACUAACCAAACUCUUCAUUAUAAGCUUGGUCAAUAUUUUCUUAUAGCCUUCAAAAU
Molecule: unclassified non-coding RNA, 1140 nt
Filed under: Hevea brasiliensis (rubber tree)
Lineage: Eukaryota; Viridiplantae; Streptophyta; Magnoliopsida; Malpighiales; Euphorbiaceae
Source: RNAcentral